Molecule: long non-coding RNA, 1111 nt
Filed under: Ananas comosus (pineapple)
Lineage: Eukaryota; Viridiplantae; Streptophyta; Magnoliopsida; Poales; Bromeliaceae
Description: long non-coding RNA (ACOM_LNC006107)
Source: RNAcentral
AGAUAUUCAGAGCUUUAAUGACUUAAACAUUUAGCCUCCGUUUGGUUCGGGGUUAAGGAAAAAGUAGCUAUUCCAGGGAUAGAGUUAAGUUCAGGGUUAAAGUGGGGUUAAAGUUUUUUUGUGUUUGGUUGGGGGUUGGAGUUAGUCUAGAAUAAUGAAAAAUAGUGUUUGGUUGGAGUAGGUGGAAUAAGAAAAUAAUGAUUGAUAAAGAAGAAUAAUGAUUGGUUGGAGUAGGUGUGAUAAGAAAGAUAGUGGGUUAUUAUGAAUAGAAAAAAGUGUUUGGUUGGAGUUUGGUGGGAUUAGAUGGGGUUAGCUAAUCCGGAAUAAUUUAUUUGAGGUGGGGUUAGGUGGGGUUAGCUAACCCCACCUAUUUUUUGGGAUGUUUGGGGAUAAAAUCGGGGUUAAGGGGUUAUUCCACCCCUUAACCCCCAACCAAACAAGGGCUUAGGUCCUGUUUGGAUGUGUAAAUAUUUUAUUCAGUAUAUUUUCAUAAUUUACUUAAGAUGUUUAUAUAUUUAGCAAAUAGAAAGUAUAAUUAAAUAUUUAUAAUUGAAUAUUAUAUUCAGCUUUCAAAUUAUGUUUUUGGAUAAGAUGAACCACCUUAUAAGUAAAAUAUAUUAUCAUAUCAAAUCAUAAAUAUCAAAACAUCUCAAUAAACUGAUCGAAUGUCCUUGACGCAAGUACUAAAGGGUUUGGUGGUUGAUACCCGAAGUCCCAAUUGUUCGAAUCCUAGUUGAUUCACAUAUCCAACUAAGUUUAUUUCUAAAAAGAACUCACACAGCAUACGAGCGUAGCGGAAAUAUGAUCUUUUGUAAACGUAAGAGACGAAAAUGAUCACAGAAAAUAAAUACGAGGAUAGCAAAGCAAUAACGAAAAUAAGAGAGUACAAAAACACAAGAUUUAUAUGGUUCGGUCAACCAUGAGUCGACCUCCGUUCAUGGGCAAGAUCAUCUCAAUACUUUUUUCGAUUAAUUCACGACACAAAAAUACAAAGAAGUAGGUUGGAUUACAAGAAACUCUCUCUUAGGAGCUCUUCACGUUUUUCUCAACGAAGCGAAUAAUAUGCUACCUAUCUCUCUGUCAAGUAAAAAAGAGAAAAACAUCUCAACUA